This 208-nucleotide ribosomal RNA is filed under the name uncultured bacterium. RNAcentral describes it as "partial 16S ribosomal RNA". It matches the Rfam family "Bacterial small subunit ribosomal RNA", at positions 568 to 774 of the family's 1533-position model. The record is from RNAcentral.
CACGUAGGCGGAUAUUUAAGUCAGGGGGUGAAAUCCCAGAGCUCAACUCUGGAACUGCCUUUGAUACUGGGUAUCUUGAGUAUGGAAGAGGUAAGUGGAAUUCCGAGUGUAGAGGUGAAAUUCGUAGAUAUUCGGAGGAACACCAGUGGCGAAGGCGGCUUACUGGUCCAUUACUGACGCUGAGGUGCGAAAGCGUGGGGAGCAAACA